RNAcentral lists this ribosomal RNA (497 nucleotides) under uncultured bacterium. RNAcentral describes it as "partial 16S ribosomal RNA". It matches the Rfam family "Bacterial small subunit ribosomal RNA", at positions 28 to 507 of the family's 1533-position model. The record is from RNAcentral.
GAUGAACGCUGGCGGCGUGCCUAAUACAUGCAAGUCGAGCGAACGGACGAGAAGCUUGCUUCUCUGAUGUUAGCGGCGGACGGGUGAGUAACACGUGGAUAACCUACCUAUAAGACUGGGAUAACUUCGGGAAACCGGAGCUAAUACCGGAUAAUAUUUUGAACCGCAUGGUUCAAAAGUGAAAGACGGUCUUGCUGUCACUUAUAGAUGGAUCCGCGCUGCAUUAGCUAGUUGGUAAGGUAACGGCUUACCAAGGCAACGAUGCAUAGCCGACCUGAGAGAGUGGUCGGCCACACUAGAACUGAGACACGGUCCAGGCUCCUGCGGGAGGCAGCAGUAGGGAAUCUUCCGCAAUAGGCGAAAGCCUGACGGAGCAACGCCGCGUGAGUGAUGGAAGUCUUCGGAUCGGAAAACUCUGUUAUUAGGGAAGAACAUAUGUGUAAGUAACUGUGCACAUCUUGACGGUACCUAAUCAGAAAGCCACGGCUAACUACGUG